RNAcentral lists this small RNA (83 nucleotides) under Homo sapiens (human). RNAcentral describes it as "nc038 non-coding RNA". The record is from RNAcentral. Lineage: Eukaryota; Metazoa; Chordata; Mammalia; Primates; Hominidae.
AGACUGCAACACUGCAGUAAAGAAAGAGUUAAAUUGACAUGAGGGCAGUCACAUAGGAGAAGGGGUUAUUACUCAAAUCAGUC